GGACGCUGGCGGACGGAUCGGACCGACUUUGCAAGGCAGGGGUUAGGGGUUCAAGUCCCCUCGUCUCCACCA
RNAcentral lists this transfer RNA (72 nucleotides) under Candidatus Protofrankia californiensis. Its description in RNAcentral is "Candidatus Frankia californiensis tRNA-Ala". The record is from RNAcentral. Lineage: Bacteria; Bacillati; Actinomycetota; Actinomycetes; Frankiales; Frankiaceae.